GAACUUAGCUUGCUAAGUUUGAUGGCGACCGGCGCACGGGUGAGUAACACGUAUCCAACUUUCCGUUUACUCAGGGAUAGCCUUUCGAAAGAAAGAUUACUACCUGAUAGUAUGGUGAGAUUGCAUGAUAACACCAUUAAAGAUUUAUUGGUAAACGAUGGGGAUGCGUUCCAUUAGGUAGUAGGCGGGGUAACGGCCCACCUAGCCUGCGAUGGAUAGGGGUUCUGAGAGGAAGGUCCCCCACAUUGGAACUGAGACACGGUCCAAACUCCUACGGGAGGCAGCAGUGAGGAAUAUUGGUCAAUGGGCGAGAGCCUGAACCAGCCAAGUAGCGUGAAGGAUGAAGGUCCUACGGAUUGUAAACUUCUUUUAUACGGGAAUAAAGUUUCCUACGUGUAGGAUUUUGUAUGUACCGUAUGAAUAAGCAUCGGCUAACUCCGUGCCAGCAGCCGCGGUAAUACGGAGGAUGCGAGCGUUAUCCGGAUUUAUUGGGUUUAAAGGGAGCGCAGACGGGAGAUUAAGUCAGUUGUGAAAGUUUGCGGCUCAACCGUAAAAUUGCAGUUGAUACUGGUUUCCUUGAGUGCAGUUGAGGCAGGCGGAAUUCGUGGUGUAGCGGUGAAAUGCUUAGAUAUCACGAAGAACUCCGAUUG
This 650-nucleotide ribosomal RNA is filed under the name uncultured Bacteroides sp. RNAcentral's name for it is "bacterial SSU rRNA". It matches the Rfam family "Bacterial small subunit ribosomal RNA", at positions 71 to 715 of the family's 1533-position model. Lineage: Bacteria; Pseudomonadati; Bacteroidota; Bacteroidia; Bacteroidales; Bacteroidaceae. The record is from RNAcentral.